CCUACGGGUGGCAGCAGUGAGGAAUAUUGGUCAAUGGACGAGAGUCUGAACCAGCCAAGUAGCGUGAAGGAUGACUGCCCUAUGGGUUGUAAACUUCUUUUAUAUUGGAAUAAAAUGUUCCACGUGUGGGAUUUUGUAUGUACCAUAUGAAUAAGGAUCGGCUAAAUCCGUGCACGCAGCCGCGGUUAUACGGAGGAUCCGAGCGUUAUCCGGAUUUAUUGGGUUUAAAGGGAGCGUAGGUGGAUUGUUAAGUCAGUUGUUAAAGUUUGCGGCUCAACCGUAAAAUUGCCGGUUAAACUGGCAGUCUUGAGUACAGUAGAGGUGAGGGGAAUUCGUGGUGUAGCGGUGAAAUGCUUAGAUAUCACGAAGAACUCCGAUUGCGAAGGCAGUUCACUGGACUGCAACUGACACUGAGGCUCGAAAGUGUGGGUAUCAAACAGGAUUAGAUACCCCUGUAGUC
This 460-nucleotide ribosomal RNA is filed under the name uncultured bacterium. RNAcentral's name for it is "partial 16S ribosomal RNA". It matches the Rfam family "Bacterial small subunit ribosomal RNA", at positions 338 to 795 of the family's 1533-position model. The record is from RNAcentral.